RNAcentral lists this non-coding RNA (48 nucleotides) under Rhizobium sp. CECT 9324. Its description in RNAcentral is "mini-ykkC". It matches the Rfam family "Guanidine-II riboswitch aptamer (mini-ykkC)". Rfam says of the family: Simpler in structure and has fewer highly conserved nucleotide positions than the ykkC-yxkD leader. Despite this each of its two stem-loop structures directly bind free guanidine. Lineage: Bacteria; Pseudomonadati; Pseudomonadota; Alphaproteobacteria; Hyphomicrobiales; Rhizobiaceae. The record is from RNAcentral.
UAUCGAGGACGACCUCCCCACCAUGGGCACGACUGCGGGACGACCCGG